UGAGAAGCUUCGACCAAGGUUCGACUUGAGCGCCAGCGAGAGAGCGUUGCCGCAGGCAACGACCCGAAGGGCGAAGCGCGCAGCGCUGAGUAAUCCUUCCCCCACCACCA
Molecule: small RNA, 110 nt
Filed under: Escherichia coli
Lineage: Bacteria; Pseudomonadati; Pseudomonadota; Gammaproteobacteria; Enterobacterales; Enterobacteriaceae
Also listed under: 1 other name
Description: partial RtT sRNA
Rfam family: RtT RNA
About the family: This family represents a bacterial cis-regulatory element known as RtT RNA. The exact function of RtT is unknown although it is thought that it may be involved in changing the cellular response in relation to amino acid starvation.
Source: RNAcentral